GAUCAUGGCUCAGGAUGAACGCUAGCUACAGGCUUAACACAUGCAAGUCGAGGGGAAACGACAUCGAAAGCUUGCUUCCGAUGGGCGUCGACCGGCGCACGGGUGAGUAACGCGUAUCCAACAUGCCCACCACUUGGGGAUAACCUUGCGAAAGUAAGACUAAUACCAAAUGAUAUCUCUAGAAGACAUCUGAAAGAGAUUAAAGAUUUAUCGGUGAUGGAUGGGGAUGCGU
RNAcentral lists this ribosomal RNA (232 nucleotides) under uncultured bacterium. RNAcentral's name for it is "partial 16S ribosomal RNA". It matches the Rfam family "Bacterial small subunit ribosomal RNA", at positions 15 to 236 of the family's 1533-position model. The record is from RNAcentral.